GCCCCAGUAGCUCAGUCAGUAGAGCGUUUACAUUAUAAGCAAAAGGUCUCGAGUGCAAUUCUCGACUGGGGCU
This 73-nucleotide transfer RNA is filed under the name Candidatus Aenigmatarchaeota archaeon. RNAcentral's name for it is "tRNA-Ile". It matches the Rfam family "tRNA". From Rfam's summary of the family: Transfer RNA (tRNA) molecules are approximately 80 nucleotides in length. Their secondary structure includes four short double-helical elements and three loops (D, anti-codon, and T loops). The record is from RNAcentral. Lineage: Archaea; Nanobdellati; Candidatus Aenigmatarchaeota.